RNAcentral lists this long non-coding RNA (465 nucleotides) under Mytilus galloprovincialis (Mediterranean mussel). Lineage: Eukaryota; Metazoa; Mollusca; Bivalvia; Mytilida; Mytilidae. The record is from RNAcentral.
AAAAUAUUAGCCCUUUUGUACUAAAAGUGUUUUUUUACAAAAACAAAAAUUAUAACUUAUAUUGACCCCUCAUAAAAGGGAUAUUCAUAACAUUAAGGGGUAGUUCUGAACCUGAUUAUGACUUGGAUGGAGAAUUGUCUCAUUGUCAGUCACACAUACUUGGACCAGAUUUAAUUAUUCAAUUAUUUCUUGUUGAACAGGGAAAAAAAUACUUCAUAAAUUAAAGAAAUGUCAAGGUACAAGUAUUAAAUCAAGUUUUAAUAUAGUCAAAACCUACUAUUUUAUGUUUACAAAAAAAAAUUAUAAUCGCUCGCCUUUACUUUUUAAGCUUCGCCUCAAAAAUUUGCAAAUUUAAUAUUUUUUUAUUUAAGUUUUCAAAUCGCUCGCUCGCCCCAAUUUUUGGAGUCCAAAAAUCCGUAGAACAAGAAAUUAAUUUGGUGUGGCCUUAGUUCAUUUAUAUGUUUU